Molecule: long non-coding RNA, 1795 nt
Organism: Scylla paramamosain (green mud crab)
Lineage: Eukaryota; Metazoa; Arthropoda; Malacostraca; Decapoda; Portunidae
Exons: 5
Source: RefSeq, a predicted model, not a curated record
ACAAAAUAAAUUAGCAAGAUAUCGUAUUGGUGGACCUCCCUUUAAUGUGCUGGCUAGUUACGGAAGGAGCGCGUGGGUAGUGUUGAAAUUCUCGUUGUUUACUCGACCAAUUCCUUAAUUUCUCCGUUUCCACUAACAUUUCGCCUUUGCCAAGACCUAGAACAUGAUUAUGAUCGCCAUAAGAACUGAAUACGUAUCCGAAGACUGUUGUGUAGUGAGAAAUAAGGCCAUGGGAGUAAAAAAACAACAACGGGGAGGGAGGAGGACAUGACAGAGGCAGGAGGGAGCUCAGCUAUGCUUGGUGAAUUGGAGUGUGCGGAGGACCUGUUGGCCUUCAAGAACCCUAUCGCCUCUCGUCCUCUCCUCUCCUCCCGGCGCGGCACAGAAUGGCCCUCUUCAGUGACCUUCAAGUGAGUGCCACCAACACGGCCAUCACCGGAUCUGGUGGACGAUGACGUGAAGAUCACGUGGGAACUUUAACAAAUAACUGCUGAUCCAUCACGCCUUUAACUGCCUACAAAACAAGACAAGGCCACUAGAAAUGCACCGAACUACAGAAUCGUGGAAUAAGAGGAAGAUUGCCAUAGAUGCGGAGAACAGUCGGACAUAAGUGUACAGUGAAUGAAAGGAAAGUGCAGUGAAAGCAACCAUGAGAAAGGAAGCCGUUGGAAAGACAGAAUCCACUCAACAACAACAACAACAACAAUAAUUACUACUACUACUACUAUUACUACUACUACUACUACUACUACUACUACUCCUCUUUCAUGACCCACCACCACCACCACCACCAGUACAACCGUCGGCGACACUCCCGGCAAGAAAGGUGAGAACGUUGGCACACACACCUGCUGAUUUUUUUUUCUUUUCCCUCUCCUCUCCAUUUUCGUCCAGUCUUGCUUCUCUGCUGCACCUCCUUUUCCUUCCUUUCCUCCGCACCUUCCCACAUCCUCUUCCUAAUUUCCUCUUCUCCUACAGCUAGCCUCCCUCCCCACCCUGCUGCCUCUGCCCGCUUUCCGCACCCUGUCACUUUUUUUUCUCCCCAUCUCUCUUUCUCUCUCUUUCUCUCUCUUCUCCUUUGCUCAGUCUUUCCAACCCAUCGCCUCGCUUCGCCGCGCCAGGGACGAGACAGGUAGUAGCCAAUCAAAGGAGAGACGACCACCUGGCUACUGUUUCGUCAGCUUGCGUGCUUUGUGUCUGUGGGGGAGGGAUGCCGUCCACUUCACCCACAGUGACGAUCCGCCACAAGACAUGUACGUUCUGCGUGACCUGUUCUGCACCUGUCAGGCGUUCUGCACCUGUCAGGCUUGCUGGGCCUGGGCAGGCUGGACUGCUGGUGGUGGUGUCUGCAGGGGCUUCUCUUGACCCCUCAGGGACGUCCGCUGGUGUCGAGUGUGACAGUGAGUUCGAGUCUGAAGUCUUUGAAAUCUUUGAAGGUUCUGACCAGGAGGUGAUGCAGACUGUGGUGGUGGCGGCGGCUGGGAAGCUUAUGGUGACUCCUUCCGUGGUCAUUCCUCCUCCACCACCACCACUACCUCCUUCACAAACAACAGGAAGUAAAAGUGUAAACUGACGAUUGAGUAUGUAAAAGUGCCUAUAAUGAAAACAAUAAAAAGGUAAAAUGCUGAAAGAAAAUCUUACAAAAAUAAUGAUAAUAUAUAUUCUUUUGAAAUAAUAAAUAAAGAAAUAUGAAUGCGCCAAGAAUAUUAGAUUUCUUUGGGGUAAUAAAAAUAUCAUUGCAUGGACUAUUAAUAGCAAAUACUUUAAUGCAGCUGUGACUGUGGUAUUAGUAGCA